AGCGAACGCUGGCGGCAGGCUUAACACAUGCAAGUCGAACGCCCCGCAAGGGGAGUGGCAAACGGGUGAGUAACACGUGGGAACGUACCCUUUGGUUCGGAAUAACUUGGGGAAACUCAAGCUAAUACCGGAUAAGCCCUUAUGGGGAAAGGUUUACUGCCGAAGGAUCGGCCCGCGUCUGAUUAGCUAGUUGGUGAGGUAAUGGCUCACCAAGGCGACGAUCAGUAGCUGGUCUGAGAGGAUGAUCAGCCACACUGGGUCUGAGACACGGCCCAGACUCCUACGGGAGGCAGCAGUGGGGAAUAUUGGACAAUGGGGGCAACCCUGAUCCAGCCAUGCCGCGUGAGUGAUGAAGGCCUUAGGGUUGUAAAGCUCUUUUACCCGGGACGAUAAUGACUGUACCGGGAGAAUAAGCCCCGGCUAACUUCGUGCCAGCAGCCGCGGUAA
This 447-nucleotide ribosomal RNA is filed under the name uncultured bacterium. Its description in RNAcentral is "partial 16S ribosomal RNA". It matches the Rfam family "Bacterial small subunit ribosomal RNA", at positions 29 to 523 of the family's 1533-position model. The record is from RNAcentral.